RNAcentral lists this ribosomal RNA (670 nucleotides) under uncultured bacterium. RNAcentral describes it as "bacterial SSU rRNA". It matches the Rfam family "Bacterial small subunit ribosomal RNA", at positions 9 to 694 of the family's 1533-position model. The record is from RNAcentral.
GAGUUUGAUCCUGGCUCAGGCUGAACGCUGGCGGCGUGCUUAACACAUGCAAGUCGAGCGAUGAAGUUUCCUUCGGGAAACGGAUUAGCGGCGGACGGGUGAGUAACACGUGGGUAACCUGCCUCAUAGAGUGGAAUAGCCUUCCGAAAGGAAGAUUAAUACCGCAUAACGUUGAAAGAUGGCAUCAUCAUUUAACCAAAGGAGCAAUCCGCUAUGAGAUGGACCUGCGGCGCAUUAGCUAGUUGGUGGGGUAACGGCCUACCAAGGCGACGAUGCGUAGCCGACCUGAGAGGGUGAUCGGCCACAUUGGGACUGAGACACGGCCCAGACUCCUACGGGAGGCAGCAGUGGGGAAUAUUGCACAAUGGGGGAAACCCUGAUGCAGCAACGCCGCGUGAGUGAUGAAGGUUUUCGGAUCGUAAAGCUCUGUCUUUGGGGAAGAUAAUGACGGUACCCAAGGAGGAAGCCACGGCUAACUACGUGCCAGCAGCCGCGGUAAUACGUAGGUGGCAAGCGUUAUCCGGAUUUACUGGGCGUAAAGGGAGCGUAGGCGGAUGAUUAAGUGGGAUGUGAAAUACCCGGGCUCAACUUGGGUGCUGCAUUCCAAACUGGUUAUCUAGAGUGCAGGAGAGGAGAGUGGAAUUCCUAGUGUAGCGGUGAAAUGCGUAGA